CAAAGAUUAAGCCAUGCAUGUCUCAGUGCAAGCCAAAUUAAGGUGAAACCGCGAAAGGCUCAUUAAAUCAGUUAUGGUUCCUUAGAUUGUACAACAGUUACUUGGAUAACUGUGGUAAUUCUAGAGCUAAUACAUGCAAAUUGAAUCCCGACUCUUAAUAAGGGAAGGGAUGCUUUUAUUAGAUCAAAACCAAUGAGGCCUUAGGGUCUGAAUACCUUGGUGACUCUGAAUAACUUUUUUGUGCUGAUCGCAUGGUCAAGUACCGGCGACGCAUCUUUCAAAUGUCUGCCUUAUCAACUUACGAUGGUAGGUUCGGCGCCUACCAUGGUUGUAACGGGUAACGGGGAAUUAGGGUUCGAUUCCGGAGAGGGAGCCUGAGAGACAGCUACCACAUCCAAGGAAGGCAGCAGGCGCGCAAAUUACCCACUCCCAGCACGGGGAGGUAGUGACGAAAAAUAACGAUGCAGAACUCUUUCCGAGGCUCUGCAAUCGGAAUGAGUACACUCUAAAUCAUUUAACAAGUAUCCAUUGGAGGGUAAGUCUGGUGCCAGCAGCCGCGGUAAUUCCAGCUCCAAUAGCGUAUAUUAAAGUUGUUGCGGUUAAAAAGCUCGUAGUUGGAUUUGUGUUUCACUCUGUCGGUUCGUUGCCCGUCAGCGUUUAACUGGCAUGUAAGUGGAACGUCCAGCCGGUUGGCGAGGUUGUUUUACCAAAAGUUGGCAAUUUCGUCGUUUUUAUCCUAUCGGGGUGCUCUUUGUUGAGUGUCUCGGUAGGCCGGCACGUUUACUUUGAACAAAUUUGAGUGCUUAAAGCAGGCUUCGUACUGCCUGAAAAUUGUUUGCAUGGAAUAAUAAAAUAAGACCUCGGUUCUAUUUUGUUGGUUUUCGGAGCCCGAGGUAAUGAUUAAUAGGGACAGGCGGGGGCAUUAGUAUUGCGACGUUAGAGGUGAAAUUCUUGGAUCGUCGCAAGACUGACCUAAGCGAAAGCAUUUGCCAAGGAUGCUUCCAUUAAUCAAGAACGAAAGUUAGAGGUUCGAAGGCGAUCAGAUACCGCCCUAGUUCUAACCAUAAACGAUGCCAGCCAGCGAUCCGCCGAAGUUCCUCCGAUGACUCGGCGGGCAGCUUUCCCGGAAACUAGAGCAUUUAGGUUCCGGGGGAAGUAUGGUUGCAAAGCUGAAACUUAAAGGAAUUGACGGAAGGGCACCACCAGGAGUGGAGCCUGCGGCUUAAUUUGACUCAACACGGGAAACCUCACCAGGCCCAGACACUGGAAGGAUUGACAGAUUGACAGCUCUUUCUUGAUUCAGUGGGUGGUGGUGCAUGGCCGUUCUUAGUUGGUGGAGCGAUUUGUCUGGUUAAUUCCGAUAACGAACGAGACUCUGGCCUGCUAACUAGUCGCGUAAACCUUUUAUAUUGUUUCUAGUAUAACCUGUUUAACGGUAUACUACUAUCUUCUUAGAGGGACAGGCGGCUCCUAGCCGCACGAGAUUGAGCAAUAACAGGUCUGUGAUGCCCUUAGAUGUUCUGGGCCGCACGCGCGCUACACUGAAGGAGUCAGCGUGUGAACGAUCCUUGGCCGUAAGGUCCGGGCAACCUGCUGAACUUCCUUCGUGCUAGGGAUUGGGGAUUGCAAUUAUUUUCUAUAAACGAGGAAUUCCCAGUAAACGCGAGUCAUAAGCUCGCAUUGAUUACGUCCCUGCCCUUUGUACACACCGCCCGUCGCUACUACCGAUUGAACGAUUUAGUGAGGUCUUCAGACC
Molecule: ribosomal RNA, 1756 nt
Filed under: Prionoglaris sp. KY-2004
Lineage: Eukaryota; Metazoa; Arthropoda; Insecta; Psocodea; Prionoglarididae
Description: SSU rRNA
Rfam family: Eukaryotic small subunit ribosomal RNA
Source: RNAcentral